UACGAAGGGGGCUAGCGUUGCUCGGAAUGACUGGGCGUAAAGGGCGCGUAGGCGGUUUGUACAGUCAGGUGUGAAAUUCCCGGGCUCAACCUGGGGGCUGCACUUGAUACGUAUGGACUGGAGUGGGGAAGAGGGUCGUGGAAUUCCCAGUGUAGAGGUGAAAUUCGUAGAUAUUAGGAAGAACACCAGUGGCGAAGGCGGCUCACUGGCUCGGUACUGACGCUGAGGCGCGAAAGCGUGGGGAGCAAACAGG
RNAcentral lists this ribosomal RNA (253 nucleotides) under uncultured bacterium. RNAcentral describes it as "partial 16S ribosomal RNA". It matches the Rfam family "Bacterial small subunit ribosomal RNA", at positions 524 to 776 of the family's 1533-position model. The record is from RNAcentral.